RNAcentral lists this ribosomal RNA (315 nucleotides) under uncultured eukaryote. RNAcentral describes it as "partial 18S ribosomal RNA". It matches the Rfam family "Eukaryotic small subunit ribosomal RNA", at positions 1470 to 1796 of the family's 1831-position model. The record is from RNAcentral.
CCCUUAGAUGUUCUGGGCCGCACGCGCGCUACACUGACCAGUGCAACAAGCAUCCGUCCUUGGCCGACAGGCUCGGGCAAUCUUUGAACGCUGGUCGUGAUGGGGAUAGACUUUUGCAAUUUUUGGUCUUCAACGAGGAAUUCCUAGUAAACGCAAGUCAUCAACUUGCAUUGAUUACGUCCCUGCCCUUUGUACACACCGCCCGCCGCACCUACCGAUUGAAUGGUCCGGUGAAGCCUCCGGAUUGGCGCGCACCUCGGUGCCGCCGAGAAGUUGGCUAAACCUUACCAUUUAGAGGAAGGUGAAGUCGUAACA